Molecule: small nuclear RNA, 80 nt
Filed under: Cervus elaphus hippelaphus
Lineage: Eukaryota; Metazoa; Chordata; Mammalia; Artiodactyla; Cervidae
Source: RNAcentral
GUGCUUGCUUCAGCAGCACAUAUGCUCAAAUUGGAACAGUACAGAGAAGAGGACUGUAUUCGUGAAGCGUUCCAUAUUUU